Molecule: ribosomal RNA, 253 nt
Filed under: uncultured bacterium
Lineage: Bacteria
Description: partial 16S ribosomal RNA
Rfam family: Bacterial small subunit ribosomal RNA
Source: RNAcentral
UACGUAGGGUGCGAGCGUUGUCCGGAAUUAUUGGGCGUAAAGAGCUUGUAGGCGGUCUGUCGCGUCUGCUGUGAAAAUCCGGGGCUCAACCCCGGACUUGCAGUGGGUACGGGCAGACUAGAGUGUGGUAGGGGAGACUGGAAUUCCUGGUGUAGCGGUGAAAUGCGCAGAUAUCAGGAGGAACACCGAUGGCGAAGGCAGGUCUCUGGAACGUAACUGACGCUGAGACGCGAAAGCGUGGGGAGCAAACAGG